This 403-nucleotide ribosomal RNA is filed under the name Verrucomicrobiota bacterium. RNAcentral's name for it is "Verrucomicrobia bacterium partial 16S ribosomal RNA". It matches the Rfam family "Bacterial small subunit ribosomal RNA", at positions 355 to 776 of the family's 1533-position model. The record is from RNAcentral. Lineage: Bacteria; Pseudomonadati; Verrucomicrobiota.
UGGGGAAUAUUGCACAAUGGGCGCAAGCCUGAUGCAGCAACGCCGCGUGAACGAUGAAGGUCUUCGGAUCGUAAAGUUCUGUUGCAGGGGAAGAUAAUGACGGUACCCUGUGAGGAAGCCCCGGCUAACUACGUGCCAGCAGCCGCGGUAAUACGUAGGGGGCUAGCGUUAUCCGGAUUUACUGGGCGUAAAGGGUGCGUAGGUGGUCCUUCAAGUCGGUGGUUAAAGGCUACGGCUCAACCGUAGUAAGCCGCCGAAACUGGAGGACUUGAGUGCAGGAGAGGAAAGUGGAAUUCCCAGUGUAGCGGUGAAAUGCGUAGAUAAUGGGAGGAACACCAGUAGCGAAGGCGGCUUUCUGGACUGCAACUGACACUGAGGCACGAAAGCGUGGGUAGCAAACAGG